Molecule: unclassified non-coding RNA, 327 nt
Filed under: Hevea brasiliensis (rubber tree)
Lineage: Eukaryota; Viridiplantae; Streptophyta; Magnoliopsida; Malpighiales; Euphorbiaceae
Source: RNAcentral
CCCAGGCCAGGACAGUGAGCCCAAGAACUGAUGGGUCAAUCCCAAAUACAUACCCUAGUGAAACCAACAGAGAGACCAGCUCCUCAGCUAUAAUAUAUGUCCAAGUUAUACUCAUUAAAAACCCACCAACUAGCCAAAGGAACAGACACUUGUUUGGUGGGCUAGACUUCUUAGUGGAGACAAAUGCAAGAUUUCCAAGAAACAUUCCUAUAAACCCUGCCGUCAUGUAGAUCACUAGGCUGCUUCUAGAACCCAAUUUUUUUUCUCUUUGGGUGUCACAUAGUGCUGCCAGUAGAAGUGGUGCCAAUGUCACAGAUGUAACUGCAU